RNAcentral lists this long non-coding RNA (491 nucleotides) under Sorghum bicolor (sorghum). RNAcentral describes it as "long non-coding RNA (SBIC_LNC017622)". Lineage: Eukaryota; Viridiplantae; Streptophyta; Magnoliopsida; Poales; Poaceae. The record is from RNAcentral.
UCCAAAUUGGUUUAUGAGCAUAUGGUAUGUUCCAUGCAUACCGAGCAUCCUAUCUUGGAUCAAGAUUAGCACGAUUUCCAAAAUAGACCAAACUAAGCUUCCACUUGAGCCUCUUUACCUAGGAGUACCAUCAGGUGUGUCCAAAGUGGUUUCGUCACCUAUGGUGUAUAAGGCACAAAUCGUGCACCUAUCUUGCAUUGAAACUAACACUCAGUCCAAAUAGACCGUUGCGAGAUUCUAUAUGACACACGUCAUCUAGGAGUUCCAUCGGGUGAGCCCAAAUUGAUUUCCAAGCAUAUGGUAUCUUCCAUGGAAACCAUGCACCUAUCUUGUAUCAAUAUUAGCACUAUCUCCAAACAGACCAAACUGAGCUUCCAUUUGAGCCCCUUCACCUAAGAGUACCAUUAGGUGUGUCUAAAAUGGUUUCUUAGCCUAUGGUGCAUUAGGCGUAAACCAUGCACCUAUCUUGCACUAAACUAACACUAUCUCCA